UCACAGUAUCAUAAGAGUGCCAGACUACGCUACGGGAGGCAGCAGUGGGGAAUAUGCACAAUGGGGAAACCUGAUGCAGCAACGCCGCGUGGAGGAUGACACAUUUCGGUACGUAAACUCCUUUUAUAUAGGAAGAUAAUGACGGUACUAUAUGAAUAAGCGCCGGCUAACUCCGUGCCAGCAGCCGCGGUAAUACGGAGGGCGCAAGCGUUACUCGGAAUCACUGGGCGUAAAGAGCGUGUAGGCGGAUCGAUAAGUCAGGAGUGAAAUCCUAUGGCUCAACCAUAGAACUGCUCUUGAAACUGUCAAUCUAGAGUAUGGGAGAGGUAGAUGGAAUUUCUGGUGUAGGGGUAAAAUCCGUAGAGAUCAGAAGGAAUACCGAUUGCGAAGGCGAUCUACUGGAACAUAACUGACGCUGAGACGCGAAAGCGUGGGGAGCAAACAGGAUUAGAUACCCUGGUAGUCCACGCCCUAAACGAUGUACACUAGUUGUUGCCAUACUAGAUAUGGCAGUAAUGCAGUUAACACAUUAAGUGUACCGCCUGGGGAGUACGGUCGCAAGAUUAAAACUCAAAGGAAUAGACGGGGACCCGCACAAGCGGUGGAGCAUGUGGUUUAAUUCGACGAUACGCGAAGAACCUUACCUGGUCUUGACAUAGUAAGAAUAUUUUAGAGAUAGAAUAGUGCUAGCUUGCUAGAACUUACAUACAGGUGCUGCACGGCUGUCGUCAGCUCGUGUCGUGAGAUGUUGGGUUAAGUCCCGCAACGAGCGCAACCCUCGUCGUUAGUUGCUAACAGUUCGGCUGAGAACUCUAACGAGACUGCCUACGCAAGUAGGAGGAAGGUGAGGACGACGUCAAGUCAUCAUGGCCCUUACGACCAGGGCUACACACGUGCUACAAUGGGGUAUACAAAGAGCAGCAAUACGGUGACGUGGAGCAAAUCUCAAAAAUACCUCCCAGUUCGGAUGUAGUCUGCAAACUCGACUACAUGAAUAGAGUGGCAGAUCAGACUGUGUAG
Molecule: ribosomal RNA, 1020 nt
Filed under: Malaciobacter mytili
Lineage: Bacteria; Pseudomonadati; Campylobacterota; Epsilonproteobacteria; Campylobacterales; Arcobacteraceae
Description: bacterial SSU rRNA
Rfam family: Bacterial small subunit ribosomal RNA
Source: RNAcentral